UAUCCAACACCAUUUUGGUUUUGGAUGUAUCCAACACCAUUUUGGUUUUGGAUGUAUCCAACACCAUUUUGGUGUUGGAUGCGUCCAAAACCAUUUUGGUUUUGGAUGAAUCCAACACCAUUUUGGUUUUGGAUG
Molecule: non-coding RNA, 135 nt
Organism: Paramuricea clavata
Lineage: Eukaryota; Metazoa; Cnidaria; Anthozoa; Malacalcyonacea; Plexauridae
Source: the annotation of a GenBank genome assembly